RNAcentral lists this ribosomal RNA (500 nucleotides) under uncultured bacterium. RNAcentral's name for it is "partial 16S ribosomal RNA". It matches the Rfam family "Bacterial small subunit ribosomal RNA", at positions 30 to 522 of the family's 1533-position model. The record is from RNAcentral.
AUUGAACGCUGGCGGCAGGCUUAACACAUGCAAGUCGAGCGGGGGAAGGUAGCUUGCUACCGGACCUAGCGGCGGACGGGUGAGUAAUGCUUAGGAAUCUGCCUAUUAGUGGGGGACAACAUCUCGAAAGGGAUGCUAAUACCGCAUACGUCCUACGGGAGAAAGCAGGGGAUCUUCGGACCUUGCGCUAAUAGAUGAGCCUAAGUCGGAUUAGCUAGUUGGUGGGGUAAAGGCCUACCAAGGCGACGAUCUGUAGCGGGUCUGAGAGGAUGAUCCGCCACACUGGGACUGAGACACGGCCCAGACUCCUACGGGAGGCAGCAGUGGGGAAUAUUGGACAAUGGGGGGAACCCUGAUCCAGCCAUGCCGCGUGUGUGUAGGAGGCCUUAUGGUUGUAAAGCACUUUAAGCGAGGAGGAGGCUACUCUAGUUAAUACCUAGGGAUAGUGGACGUUACUCGCAGAAUAAGCACCGGCUAACUCUGUGCCAGCCGCCGCCUAA